AACUAUUCAAGACAUUCAAAUCGCCUCCACUCCAUAAAACCCAUAACUCUUCCCUCAGUUUGAAACUUCCCCAAUUUAAAAGUUUCGCGUCCUUCCAGCCCCGUCAAUUCUCAAAGAACUGCAAUUCUCAGAGAACUGCAAUUCUCAUUCCUUCUUCGUUCUAGAUCACGACGGCAUGAAAUGGAUCUAAAUGAGCCUGCAAUCGAAGAGUUACGGAUGAUCCUCGACUCAAAUCAACUGACAAACAAUGAGGCAAGUGAGGUAAGUAUUCAAUCAAAUAUAAUUCUGAAUAUUCAUCUGUCUUCUGUCGAUCACAAUUGUUGGCAGUGACAUUCAUAUUCAUACAGUCCAACUCGGUUCCACAAGAAUCAGUAUAACAACAAUCCUUUGUUAACACCUCAGAAAGAAGUACAAUGGACAAACAAUAAAUUUUGCAGGGACGAAGCUACAUUAUGAUGUUAGGGGGCAACCCCUACAAACAAUCUCUGUAGAGUAGUGGUAUUGUUGUUGGUUUUUAGUUUGAGGGCACUGGUUCAAAACCCAACUGCACGCCUCCAAUUAGCAGUAAUAAAGUCAAUCCGAUCCACAUAUAUGUAUUUCCAACCGGCACAGAUUGUAUCUUCAAUCCUAUCUCACCACAAUUAACAUGCUCAUGAACCCCAAGUUCCAUAACGAUAUAAAAUGCACUUUCGAAAUCAAACAUUUUCAACACUAACUUCUAACUCGCCCCUUGGCAACCCAUAAUCAAACUGAACAGUAGUUUUGGUCAACAUCAAAUCUUGACCAAAAAGAAGGUGAAUGGACUUACUCCUACCAUCAUAAUGCAGUAGUAACUCAUCCACAACCCGACUACAGAUUUGGUGCAGCCGACUAGAAGCAAAUGCACCAAUUCCAUACUCUUCUGCAACUACAAUCUUAGCUGCAUCCAUGUGCAAAAAGCUCUUGCAUACACUGUUUGUAGCACAUCAACUUGAAAAUUUUGGUUGACAUCUAAAUAAAAGCAAUGCCUUGUGAGUUAUGAUCGCUCACUGAAAGUACCAAAAAAAAACAUGAAUACUUCUUCCUAUCUAUGAUUUCUAUAGAGACUUCAAACAAACAAGUUAUAAUUCUCCAACGUUGUACUACUACUGCCAACUAAUACUCUAGUUUUUUACCUAUAUAGCCGCAUUCUAGUAUAAACUCAAAGACCAACGUUACAUAGUAAACAUGCUCCAAUAUGUUUCUGUCAUCACAAAAAUGUAUAGUAUAUCUCCAGAAUACAUCCCUGGAUCAUGAAGAAGCUUCGAAUGUCUCCGGCCGCCAGUCGCCUUUCUGUGCACUAAGUACACCUUCUUGGUUGUUGGACAAGGUAACCUCCCAAUGCAGAGACUUGAGUAUGCCCUCGACUUCCUGUAUCGUAUUUGUUUCGUCUCGAACGAUGAACUUACCUCCCGGUCUGAGUAUUCUGUCAACCUCUGCCACUACAGGUACAAGUUUGCACCUGUAAAAACUCAUAGAGCACAAACUCGAAGUCAGACUCGUGGCUUUUCAAGUCUAGGAGAAUAAAGAAGGACGCCAUUUGGAAUUUUUGUUAACCUGGUUUUCAACUUUGAGAAAAGAUGAUCAGCAUGAACCAGAUCAUACGUCCGAGGGUAAGUGCUGAAGGAUUCACACCAGUCAUGGUAGAUCCCAAACAGCCCUCUCUCGUAUAUUAUCGGAAGGGUGUCUGGAGAAUCUACAGUAACCACAUUCAACACCCAAACCUUCAUAUCUUUAAGAGCUGCUGCGAAACUGGAGCGCAAAAGAACUCAGCAAUGUGAUUGAAGAUAUGGAAUAAUUUAUUUAUCUAUAUGAGAUGAGAUCAUUACCCGCCAUACACAGCUCUCAUGUCCAUAACAUUUCUCACGCCGUCCCAGCUGAUUCCCAGUCCUUUCAUAUACGUCUUAGUCACCAGAUUUUUCCAGUGCUUAUAAUCUGUUAUGAAGUCUUGGGGUGCUGGUUUACCGUAGAUCCCCAUUUGAGAGCUGUUGAGCCAGUAAGGAGGCCUCUGUAAUCUUGCAGGCCAAUCAUCUGGCCAUUCUGUCCCUCGGAUGCUUGGCUCAGAAGGUACUCUGUGCAUGCAUGCCUGCAGUGGGACAGACCUGGGAACCGAAAUCUAGAUUGGUCAUCUUUUCUCUUCUCCUUGUCAAUCAAGCUUCUGAAUAAGGAUUUUGGAAACAAGAUACUUGACUUACCAAGCAGCAUUUGAAUCAUCAUCAUCUGCACACAUUGGAGGUUCAUUUUUCUUCCUCUGAUCAUAACAAUCAUUGGUUGUGGGCUUGCUGUAAAUAGCAGCUCCAAUCUUGUUAAGUUUGUCUCCCUUGAUUGUCACAAGUUCCCAACACAUUUUUACAGUCAACGCAGACAUUGCUAGGGGUGAAAAAAAGAAACAAAAUAUUAAACACCUUUGUUCAGAAAUUGACUCUAAACAAGAGAACCUAUGACAAGUUUGUUCAUUUAUGCAUUAAAAUUGCCCUGUCUUUUAUAUUACCUUGCCAAAUUUCGACAUCUUCCUUGAGCUUUUGAUACACAGGAGUUGCUGACCAAAUAAAGUACCCUCCAGGACGAAGAAGACGAUUCAAUUCCAGGAGCAAGAGACCUCCUGAAACAACCACACCACUUCAAUAUAUAUCUGAUGCAGAUGUCAGAAUGCAUUACAAUAAGCAAGUUUAAUAGAAGCGAAAGAUUGGACCU
RNAcentral lists this long non-coding RNA (2712 nucleotides) under Linum usitatissimum (flax). Its description in RNAcentral is "long non-coding RNA (LUSI_LNC004616)". Lineage: Eukaryota; Viridiplantae; Streptophyta; Magnoliopsida; Malpighiales; Linaceae. The record is from RNAcentral.